GAUGAACGCUAGCGGCAGGCCUAACACAUGCAAGUCGAACGGUAACAGAUCUAGCUUGCUAGAUGCUGACGAGUGGCGCACGGGUGCGUAACGCGUAUACAAUCUACCUUUAACUGAGGCAUAGCCCAGAGAAAUUUGGAUUAAUACCUCAUAGUAUUAUAUUAAGGCAUCUUUUUAUAAUUAAAACUCCGGUGGUUAAAGAUGAGUAUGCGUCCUAUUAGCUUGUUGGUAAGGUAAAAGCUUACCAAGGCUACGAUAGGUAGGGGGCCUGAAAGGGUGAUCCCCCACACUGGUACUGAGACACGGACCAGACUCCUACGGGAGGCAGCAGUGAGGAAUAUUGCACAAUGGAGGAAACUCUGAUGCAGCCAUGCCGCGUGCAGGAUGAAUGCCCUAUGGGUUGUAAACUGCUUUUAUACAAGAAGAAACCUCGGUACGUGUACCGACUUGACGGUAUUGUAUGAAUAAGCACCGGCUAACUCCGUGCCAGCAGCCGCGGUAAUACGGAGGGUGCAAGCGUUAUCCGGAUUUAUUAGGUUUAAAGGGUCCGCAGGCGGAAUAUUAAGUCAGUGGUGAAAGCCUACAGCUCAACUGUAGAACUGCCAUUGAAACUGUUAUUCUUGAGUAUGGAUGAAGUGGGCGGAAUAUGUCAUGUAGCGGUGAAAUGCAUAGAUAUGACAUGGAACACCAAUUGCGAAGGCAGCUCACUAAACCAUUACUGACGCUCAUGGACGAAAGCGUGGGGAGCGAACAGGAUUAGAUACCCUGGUAGUCCACGCCGUAAACGAUGAUCACUAGAUGUUGGCGAUAUAAUGUCAGCGUUCAAGAGAAAUCGAUAAGUGAUCCACCUGGGGAGUACGUUCGCAAGAAUGAAACUCAAAGGAAUUGACGGGGGCCCGCACAAGCGGAGGAGCAUGUGGUUUAAUUCGAUGAUACGCGAGGAACCUUACCAAGGCUUAAAUGUAAUAUGACCGGUUGAGAGAUCAACCUUUUUUCGAACAGAUUACAAGGUGCUGCAUGGUUGUCGUCAGCUCGUGCCGUGAGGUGUCGGGUUAAGUCCCAUAACGAGCGCAACCCCUAUUUUUAGUUACCAGCGAGUAAUGUCGGGAACUCUAGAAAAACUGCCUGUGCAAACAGAGAGGAAGGUGGGGAUGACGUCAAAUCAUCACGGCCCUUAUGUCUUGGGCUACACACGUGCUACAAUGGUUACUACAAUGUGAUGCCAUCUGGUGACAGAGAGCUAAUCAAUAAAGGUAAUCUCAGUUCGGAUUGGAGUCUGCAACUCGACUCUAUGAAGUUGGAUUCGCUAGUAAUCGUAUAUCAGCCAUGAUACGGUGAAUACGUUCCCGGGCCUUGUACACACCGCCCGUCAAGCCAUGGAAGUUUGGGGUACCUGAUGUCAGUAACCGCAAGGAACUGCCUAGGGUAAAACAAAUAACUAGGGCUAAGUCGUAACAAGGUAGCCGUACCGGAAGGUGUGGCUGGAAUAUCUCUUUU
Molecule: ribosomal RNA, 1497 nt
Filed under: uncultured marine bacterium
Lineage: Bacteria
Description: 16S ribosomal RNA
Rfam family: Bacterial small subunit ribosomal RNA
Source: RNAcentral